GGAGCCACUCCUUAGUUGCCCUGGCUGUGUGUUUCGGGUCGUUGUCAUGCUGGAAGACCCAGCUACGGCCCAUCUUCAAUGCUCUUACUGAGGGAAGGAGGUUGUUGGCAAAGAUCACGCGAUACAUGGCCCCAUCCUCCCCUCAAUACGGUGCAGUCGUCCUGUACCCUUUGCAGAAAAGCAUCCCCAAAGAAUGAUGUUUCCACCUCCAUGCUUCACGGUUGGGAUUGUGUUCUUUGUGGGGUUGUACUCAUCCUUCUUCAAACACGGCGAGAGGAGUUUAGACCAAAAAGCUCUAUUUUUGUCUCAUCAGACCACAUGACCUUCUCCCAUUCCUCCUCUGGAUCAUCCAGAUGGUCAUUGGCAAACUUCAGACGGGCCUGGACAUGUGCUGGCUUGAGCAGGGGGACCUUGUGUGCGCUGCAGGAUUUUAAUCCAUGACGGAGUAGUGUGUUCCUAAUGGUUUUCUUUGAGAUUGUGGUCCCAGCUCUCUUCAGGUCAUUGACCAGGUCCUGCCGUGUAGUUCUGGGCUGAUCCCUCACCUUCCUCAUGAUCAUUGAUGCCCCAUGAGGUGAGAUCUUGCAUGGAGCCCCAGACUGAGGGUGAUUGACCAUCAUCUUGAACGUCUUCCAUUUCAUAAUAAUUGUACCUACAGUUGUUGCCUUCUCACCAAGCUGCUUGCCUAUUGUCCUGUAGCUUAUCCCUGCCUUGUGCAAGUCUACAAUUUUAUCCCUGAUGUCCUUACACAGCUCUCUGGUCUUGGCCAUUGUGGAGAAGUUGGAGUCUGUUUUAGUGUGUGGACAGUUGUCUUUUAAACAAGUAACAAGUUCAAACAGAUGCAGUUAAUACAGGUAAUGAGUGGAGAACAAGAGGGCUUCUUAAAGAAAAACGAACAGGUCUGUGAGAGCUGGAAUUCUAACUGGUUGGUAGGUGAUCGAAUACAUAUGUCAUGCAAUAAAAUGCAAAUUAAUUACUUAAAAAUCAUACAAUGUGAUUCAGAUCUAGGAUGUGUUAUUUUAGUGUUCCCUUUAUUUUUUGAGCAGUAUAUAUAUAUGAAAAUCCAAAGAAGAAGAUUGAGGAUUUUCCACCUAAAACCAAACCUGGGCACCAAUAUACAGAUUAACACAUAUCUCAGUCUGAGCUAAAAGCGGCAGUUACUUUAGCAAGAAAAAUAAUAACGAUACGAAUAUUACUGAACAGGAGCACGUGAGAACUCACACCACUGCUUCAUGAUCAGAUUCAAAUAAAAAAGUUAUCCAAUGCUGCGGAGGAGCAGUUUACAGUUAUUUACCCGAGAGAGUCUAACACAGCAGCAUCUUCAGGUGUGUAGAGUUUUAUUAGGCGAACCGUUGACCGUAAUCUUCAAUUUGGCUGGCUACAGCAGUGCGUAGUCCAUCUUCAUUCUCUUGAGUCGAACCUUCACCUCAUCAAACGCUUUGCGUCUUCGUACAACGGGUAACCUCAAGAUGCUUAAUUCACUACAGCUGCUAUUGAAUAACUUUUGUUGGAUCCUGUAUUUUACAUUAUAGCCAUUACCAUAUAUAUGAUUGAAUAUUAUCUGCUGUUGGCUUGUGUGGAUGUAUGUAUGUGUUAUGCAACAUAGCUGACUUGAAACAUUGUUAAAAGUAUCAGGGCCAUGGGACUUUCUCAUGAUGGAAAAAUACAGAGAAGCAUGAAGACAGGAACUGUUCAAAUUAGUUGGGAGGGGGGCACAUUCAGAGCGGGGUGUUGCGAGAACAAGCGGUCUUUUGUUAGAUAACAGGAGCCAGGUGCGAGAUAACGGUAUGGAGCAUGAGAGCCUGGAUGUUCUUCACAAGCAAGUUACAUCUAUUAACAGAUGCGCCAAGAGGCGGGGACCCGCCUGAGCGCCUGCAAUAGGCUGAGCAAGUUUAAACCACGCCCAGUCUCUACUGUGAUAGGCCAACAGACGGGUUGGAACUGUCUAUCACAGUAUAAAGAAUACUGUUUACAUACAUCCUGUCAGUUCUCUGUUCUGCCCUGCCCUGCGUGGUAUUACUGUGAGCCCGUAUAUACGAAAGUUGCCAUUUAUUACUUAGCUAAUAAAAAAUACAUAGUAUAAAA
Long non-coding RNA from Oncorhynchus nerka (sockeye salmon), 2082 nucleotides. RefSeq lists it as uncharacterized. The record is from RefSeq and is a predicted model, not a curated record. Lineage: Eukaryota; Metazoa; Chordata; Actinopteri; Salmoniformes; Salmonidae. The transcript is spliced from 2 exons.